Long non-coding RNA from Triticum dicoccoides, 672 nucleotides. RefSeq lists it as uncharacterized. Lineage: Eukaryota; Viridiplantae; Streptophyta; Magnoliopsida; Poales; Poaceae. The transcript has 2 exons. The record is from RefSeq and is a predicted model, not a curated record.
UUCUGCUUCUCUCGCGAAAGAAACAGAGCCUUUGAGAACCCCCUCCCAGUUUCCACGCCGCCGGCCCCUCCUCUCUCUUCCCCGGUGACCUCCAGACUUGAGUUGGGGAGCGCCCCCGCCCCCCUCGCCACUCCCUCCCCUUGUGUAGUCGCCACACUUGUCCUUCUAGAUCUGGCACAGCCCUCGUAGACGAAGAAGAUUGAGGCGAUUGCUACAAUGUCCAGGACCGCCAUGACUGCGCCCAGGUCUUUUGCUGGCGCGGAUGAUUUCUUCCGGUGGCGAGCUACUUGUUCUUGGCGGUGUCAGUGCCAACUGCCUUGAGCCACCGUGUUUGUUCUGACCCAUGAUCAUACCUCCAUAAGUUCUCUGUUUUCACCCAAGAAGUUGGUCAAAUUUUUGGAGUGUAGAUGUAUAUCAGAUCCGUGCAAAUGAGUUGUUGAAUUUAUGGUUUUUCCUAAACAUGUUUAGAAAUGAAUAUGUUGCGGAUCUGCAAAGUACCUCAUGAAGUGUAGGUUUAGCAUUCGUGAAAUUCACUGAACUCCACCCCCUCGGGUAGUUACUAGACUUUUUAUUCAAUGUCCAGACUGUUUCUUUCAUUGAGAUAUGUUUCAGAUUUUGUACUUGUGGAUUUGGUGCAAGGAAAAUAGAAUAGCAUGAUCAAGUGUUGCUUCA